GGGGAUGCAAUGGUUUCGACGGGAUGUCGGGGUCAUGCAGCCGCGUUCCGUGCAUGGUACUACGCACGUAAAUCCUGUACCAACUGGUAUAAUUGCCAACCACGAUUACGCACUGGCAGCUUAAUUGACUGCCACGUCCCCCGGAGACCCGCCUGCUGGCCAAAGGGUCGGACGACGCUAAAAGCAGGAUAGGCACCUCAAGCGUUCGAGGAGAGGGCCGAAACACUUCUUCGAGCUAGCUUCCGCGCACGUCCUGUCUGUCGGGCAGCACGGAAGCGAACCUUCAAAGACAGACUAUGAGCGUAGUAUGCUGCAGGUUCUGCAUUUCGGACGGGGGUUCGAUUCCCCCCAUCUCCAC
Molecule: transfer-messenger RNA, 358 nt
Filed under: marine eukaryotic metagenome
Rfam family: transfer-messenger RNA
About the family: Bacterial tmRNA, also known as 10Sa RNA or SsrA, is named for its dual tRNA and mRNA-like properties. Its role is to liberate the mRNA from a stalled ribosome. To accomplish this part of the tmRNA is used as a reading frame that ends in a translation stop signal.
Source: RNAcentral